Molecule: ribosomal RNA, 403 nt
Filed under: uncultured bacterium
Lineage: Bacteria
Description: partial 16S ribosomal RNA
Rfam family: Bacterial small subunit ribosomal RNA
Source: RNAcentral
AUUGAACGCUGGCGGCAGGCCUAACACAUGCAAGUCGAGCGAGAGGCGGACGGGGGAGUAAUGUAUGGGGACUGUCCGUUAGAGGGGGAUAAAUCCUGGAAACGGUAGCUAAUACCGCAUACUAUCGGAUAAUCCAUAUGGGAUUAGCUAGUAGGUGGGGUAAUGGCUCACCUAGGCGACGAUCCCUAGCUGGGCUGAGAGGAUGAUCAGCCACACUGGGACUGAGACACGGCCCAGACUCCUACGGAGGCAGCAGUGGGGAAUAUUGCACAAUGGGCGCAAGCCUGAUGCAGCCAUGCCGCGUGUAUGAAGAAGGCCCUAGGGUUGUAAAGUACUUUCAGUCGGGAGGCGUUACCGACAGAAGAAGCACCGGCUAACUCCGUGCCAGCAGCCGCGGUAAUUC